Molecule: microRNA precursor, 105 nt
Filed under: Marmota monax (woodchuck)
Lineage: Eukaryota; Metazoa; Chordata; Mammalia; Rodentia; Sciuridae
Source: RNAcentral
AGUGGAAUUGCUGGGUCAUAUUAUAAUUCUGUGUUUAAUUAUUUUUGAGGAAUUACCAUACUGUUUUCCAUAGCAUGUACACCAUUUUACAUUCUUACUAGCAAU